CCUCCCUGUCUUUUAACACACAACCCCCCGCCCCCAUCACCCCAUCUGUGUUUGUCGUAGAAAGGUGACAGAAGCAGUUGGUGCAGCGUGCACAAUGCAACACUCUCCAUCUGGCAGAUGGAGUUGCUCUAUUGUCAUGGAGAUGGUUAAGUUGUCAUUACACAGUGAGAUGUGGACGAAAGCUUCAAAAAAUAUGAAUGAUGGCCAAAUGAGCUGAGUGAACAACCAUGACAUCUGAUCACACAACAGCUUAAAGAGACAGACGCUAAAACGGAGCGUUCAGACCGAGGGUGAAUACAGAAAUGAAUGGCCCCCUUGAUCUCUUUCCAGCCAUCCACUGACUCUUCAUCGAUGACUUCGACAACCCAACUAUCAGAAGCCUUCAGCGCUACUCCCUUAUGUAGCUGUAGUUUCUUUGUAUUUUCCUUACAAAUAUCACCAUAUAUUAGCCAUGCAAACUGAUUUCCUUUUCUGUUUUGGUGGACGAACAUGCAAGGUUUCAUGUUCCAAAAGGAUUUUGAGAGGUUGCCUACCGAUGUAACUGUAACCAGUCUACCUGUUUCCCAGUGUGUUGUUUCUGUGGUAGUCCUGUGUGUAGUUGCUCAAUCAUUGAAUACUGGUUCCUUUCUGACUGCCAAGACUACAGAAAACAUCUGUGUGGAAAAGGUUGCAAUGUGUGAGGUGUCUAGUGUUUGUAGGUGUCAACCUUGUAGGUUUGUCGGUUUCCCAGAUUUAGUCAGGUCCGAGUAAAUCAAGUUGCAUAAUAUUGCACUCUUGCAGUCUGUUCCCAGCUUUAGUCGAGGUUCAGGCCACUUUCAGACCUUGAUUAAGACUAACAGCGAAAACACACCGGGCGCGUAUAGCCCGCAUAGCGUAGAUACGUCCCUAAUCCCACGCCUGGCCAUUCAUACCGGACGCGUAUUUCAAUACGCCGGUCACAAAGCGAUCCUUCUCCUCUCUCUCUCUCUCUCUCUCUCUCUCUCUCUGAUAGAAAGAGACAAGAUAAGUGGGAAAAACCGUAGUAAUUGUAGCCUAAGUGUGUGUGUGUGUGUGUGUGUGUUGUGUGUGUCACGUCCGUCAGUCUCCACCGCUGCACUGUGGUCUUCCUGUAUAUGAUUACCUGCCUGGCUUGACACAUACGCUCGCUUCUCGCGCAAGAAAUAGAGGAGACGCCGAAACUAUCGCUGCAGCGUGCCGGCCGACACGGAUGCUACACGCCGGUAUGAACUGACAUGGGUGGCAUCUUUGUAGCUUCCAUGUUGUUUCCACAUUACGCAUUUAUGGAGGUCUGCGCUUUUCGUGUGCCAUUCUAGUAAUUAGCAUUGCAUAGGUGUGAGGUCCAUAGAACGCUAAAGGUAUAAUCUGUUAAAUUCUGAGGAGUCCUCAGGUGAAAAUGUAAGUAUAUCCAUGUAUAUCCAAUACAUCCACACACAAGGUCCGGAGCCAUUGAACACUUCAACAGGAUGGCCUAGUGUCCGGGCACUCCUAGUUUCAGUUCUACAGCCAUACAAAAACAUGUCCACAUUGAUUUUGCCCAAUUUACAAAUCACCCUCCAAACUGAAUGAGAUGCUGUCCAUCUUUCAUUUCCAGUAUAUAUACAGCUACAGCAUGUGAGGCUCCUAUUUAAGGAUGAACCUACCCUUUAUGGAUCAUAGAAUCAGCCAACAUGUCAUUGUUGUGCUGGGUUAGAUUUUCUCCAUUAAUGAGCAGUCUGCAGUGUCUGGAACCUGCUGGGGAGACCAGACAUCAUUUAUACCCAGGGCAAACAAACCACACAGGCUCUGCUGCCAAAAGCACCAUCCAUUUAAUAGAGACAAGUCAGAGAGAGGUCAGGCUGCAUACUGCCACACAGCCAGC
Long non-coding RNA from Perca fluviatilis (European perch), 1858 nucleotides. RefSeq lists it as uncharacterized. The record is from RefSeq and is a predicted model, not a curated record. Lineage: Eukaryota; Metazoa; Chordata; Actinopteri; Perciformes; Percidae. The transcript is spliced from 4 exons.